Molecule: ribosomal RNA, 397 nt
Filed under: bacterium enrichment culture
Lineage: Bacteria
Description: bacterial SSU rRNA
Rfam family: Bacterial small subunit ribosomal RNA
Source: RNAcentral
UAAUACGUAGGGUGCGAGCGUUAAUCGGAAUUACUGGGCGUAAAGCGUGCGCAGGUGGUUGUGUAAGUCAGAUGUGAAAUCCCCGGGCUCAACCUGGGAACUGCAUUUGAGACUGCACGGCUAGAGGAUGGCAGAGGGGGGUAGAAUUCCACGUGUAGCAGUGAAAUGCGUAGAGAUGUGGAGGAAUACCGAUGGCGAAGGCAGCCCCCUGGGCUAUUUCUGACACUCAUGCACGAAAGCGUGGGGAGCAAACAGGAUUAGAUACCCUGGUAGUCCACGCCCUAAACGAUGUCAACUAGAUGUUGGAAGGGUUAAACCUUUUAGUGUCGUAGCUAACGCGUGAAGUUGACCGCCUGGGGAGUACGGCCGCAAGGCUAAAACUCAAAUGAAUUGACGG